This 505-nucleotide ribosomal RNA is filed under the name uncultured bacterium. Its description in RNAcentral is "bacterial SSU rRNA". It matches the Rfam family "Bacterial small subunit ribosomal RNA", at positions 28 to 525 of the family's 1533-position model. The record is from RNAcentral.
GACGAACGCUGGCGGCGUGGAUUAGGCAUGCAAGUCGAACGGUAUCAUCCUUUCGGGGGUGAGAGAGUGGCGAACUGGUGAGUAACACGUAGGUUAUCUACCCUCAAGACGGGGACAACCCAGGGAAACUUGGGCUAAUACCGGAUGUGAGCAACUUUUAGUUGUUUGAAAGGUGGCGUAAGCUGUCGCUUGGGGAUGAGCCUGCGUCCUAUUAGUUAGUUGGUGAGGUAACGGCUCACCUAGGCAAUGAUAGGUAGGCGGCCUUAACGGGUGGUCGCCCACACUGGGAUUGAGAUACGGCCCAGACUCCUACGGGAGGCAGCAGUCGAGAAUAGUCUACAAUGGUCGGAAGACUGAUAGUGCGACGCCGCGUGAACGAUGAAUCCCUUCGGGGUGUAAAGUUCUUUUAUAUGUGAGCAGUGCUUCUUAUAUUAACAGUAUGGGGAGAGAGAUAUUAGCAUAUGAAUAAGCAACGGCUAACUCCGUGCCAGCAGCCGAGGUAAAA